Molecule: ribosomal RNA, 513 nt
Filed under: uncultured bacterium
Lineage: Bacteria
Description: partial 16S ribosomal RNA
Rfam family: Bacterial small subunit ribosomal RNA
Source: RNAcentral
GACGAACGCUGGCGGCAUGCCUAAUACAUGCAAGUCGAGCGAACAGAUGAAGUGCUUGCACUUCUGACGUUAGCGGCGAACGGGUGAGUAACACGUAAGGAAUCUACCUAUAAGCGGGGGAUAACAUUCGGAAACGGGUGCUAAUACCGCAUAAUAUCUUCUUCCGCAUGGAAGAAGAUUGAAAGACGGCUCUGCUGUCACUUAUAGAUGACCUUGCGGUGCAUUAGUUAGUUGGUGGGGUAAUGGCCUACCAAGACAAUGAUGCAUAGCCGAACUGGGAGGGUGAUCGGCCACAUUGGGACUGUGACACGGCCCAAACUCCUACGGGAGGCAGCAGUAGGGAAUCUUCCGCAAUGGGCGAAAGCCUGACGGAGCAAUGCCGCGUGAGUGAAGAAGGCCUUCGGGUCGUAAAACUCUGUUAUAAGAGAAGAACAAAUUGUAGAGUAACUGCUACAGUCUUGACGGUAUCUUAUCAGAAAGCCACGGCUAACUACGUGCCAGCAGCCGCAGUAA